GAUGAACGCUGGCGGCGUGCCUAAUACAUGCAAUUCGAGCGAACAGACUAGUAGUUUUCUCCUCUGACGUUAGCGGCGGACGGUUGAUUAACACUUGGAUAACUUACCUUUAAGACUGGGAUAACUUCGGGAACCCGUAGCUAUUACCGGUAAAUAUUUUGAACCGCAUGUUUCAAUAUUGAAAGACGGUUUUGCUGUCACUUAUAUAUUGAUCCGCGCCGUAUUAGCUAUUUGGUAAGGUAACGGCUUACCAAGGCGACGAUGCGUAGCCGACCUGAGAGGGUGAUCGGCCACACUGGAACUGAGACACGGUCCAGACUCCUACGGGAGGCAGCAGUAGGGAAUCUUCGGCAAUGGGCGAAAGCCUGACGGAGAAACGCCGCGUGAGUGAUGAAGGUCUUCGGAUCGUAAAACUCUGUUAUUAGGGAAGAACAAAUGUGUAAGUAACUAUGCACGUCUUGACGGUACCUAAUCAGAAAGCCACGGCUAACUACGUG
Molecule: ribosomal RNA, 497 nt
Filed under: uncultured bacterium
Lineage: Bacteria
Description: partial 16S ribosomal RNA
Rfam family: Bacterial small subunit ribosomal RNA
Source: RNAcentral